This is a long non-coding RNA of Xenopus laevis (African clawed frog), 453 nucleotides long. RefSeq lists it as uncharacterized. The record is from RefSeq and is a predicted model, not a curated record. Lineage: Eukaryota; Metazoa; Chordata; Amphibia; Anura; Pipidae. The transcript has 5 exons.
AGGGACAACCAACCAGAGGGAAGAAGAGUGCGUGAAAGGCUCAUCCGUGCCCACUUUUAGUUCCUGCUGAUGGUGAUGUGCUGGCGUGCCCCUAGCAGUGAAUGCUUUCCUGUAACAUCUUAUGCUCUUUCUGGCCUCCUACUGUGUUAUGGUUGUGGUUCAUGUGUGUCGUACUCUACUUUAUUAUCUUGGUACUUGCCCACAGAGGAUACAGACAUGGACACUGACUGAUUGGCCACGCCUCAAACUCCGUUAUUCAGCCUCUCCAUGUGCAAACUUUUCCUGACCCACUAAAUUGGACUCAACACAACCGACAGAUGUGAUGAACUGAAAGCUGUUUGGCUCAUUUGAACCUGGGUGGAGUGACCUUUCAAUAAAAUAUCAGUAUGGCUUCUUCUGUUUUCUUGCUUGAAAUGACAUUACCCAUGUUACUAUUUUGGACUAGCACCUUGU